UACGGAGGGUGCAAGCGUUACUCGGAAUCACUGGGCGUAAAGCGCGCGCAGGCGGGCUGAUAAGUUGGAUGUGAAAGCCUACGGCUUAACCGUAGAACUGCAUCCAAAACUGUCAGUCUAGAGUCUGGGAGGGGAAGAUGGAAUUAGUGGUGUAGGGGUAAAAUCCGUAGAGAUCACUAGGAAUACCAAAAGCGAAGGCGAUCUUCUGGAACAGUACUGACGCUGAGGCGCGAAAGCGUGGGGAGCAAACAGGAUUAGAUACCCUGGUAGUCCACGCCCUAAACGAUGAAUGUUAGUCGUCGGGUAGCUAGUCUAUUCGGUGAUGCAGCUAACGCAUUAAACAUUCCGCCUGGGGAGUACGGUCGCAAGAUUAAAACUCAAAGGAAUAGACGGGGACCCGCACAAGUGGUGGAGCAUGUGGUUUAAUUCGAAGAUACGCGAAGAACCUUACCUGGCCUUGACAUUGAUAGAAUUCUGUAGAGAUACGGAAGUGCCCUUCGGGGAGCUUGAAAACAGGUGCUGCACGGCUGUCGUCAGCUCGUGUCGUGAGAUGUUGGGUUAAGUCCCGCAACGAGCGCAACCCUCGUCACUAGUUACUAACGGUUCGGCCGAGGACUCUAGUGAGACUGCCUUCGCAAGGAGGAGGAAGGUGAGGACGACGUCAAGUCAUCAUGGCCCUUACGGCCAGGGCGACACACGUGCUACAAUGGGUAGGACAAUGAGACGCGAUACCGCGAGGUGGAGCAAAUCUAUAAACCUACUCUCAGUUCGGAUUGUACUCUGCAACUCGAGUGCAUGAAGCUGGAAUCACUAGUAAUCGUAGAUCAGCCAUGCUACGGUGAAUACGUUCCCGGGUCU
RNAcentral lists this ribosomal RNA (858 nucleotides) under uncultured bacterium. RNAcentral describes it as "SSU rRNA". It matches the Rfam family "Bacterial small subunit ribosomal RNA", at positions 524 to 1381 of the family's 1533-position model. The record is from RNAcentral.